RNAcentral lists this transfer RNA (72 nucleotides) under Camelus bactrianus (Bactrian camel). It matches the Rfam family "tRNA". Rfam says of the family: Transfer RNA (tRNA) molecules are approximately 80 nucleotides in length. Their secondary structure includes four short double-helical elements and three loops (D, anti-codon, and T loops). Lineage: Eukaryota; Metazoa; Chordata; Mammalia; Artiodactyla; Camelidae. RNAcentral also lists the same sequence under 2 other names. The record is from Rfam by way of RNAcentral.
GAGGGCAUAGCUCAGUGGUAGAGUGCUUGCUUAGCAUGCACAAGGUCCUGGGUUCAAUCCCCAGUCCCUCCA